UGGGGAAUAUUGGACAAUGGGCGCAAGCCUGAUCCAGCCACGCCGCGUGAGUGAUGAAGGCCCUAGGGUUGUAAAGCUCUUUCACCGGUGAAGAUAAUGACGGUAACCGGAGAAGAAGCCCCGGCUAACUUCGUGCCAGCAGCCGCGGUAAUACGAAGGGGGCUAGCGUUGUUCGGAUUUACUGGGCGUAAAGCGCACGUAGGCGGACUUUUAAGUCAGGGGUGAAAUCCCGGGGCUCAACCCCGGAACUGCCUUUGAUACUGGAAGUCUUGAGUAUGGUAGGGGUGAGUGGAAUUCCGAGUGUAGAGGUGAAAUUCGUAGAUAUUCGGAGGAACACCAGUGGCGAAGGCGGCUCACUGGACCAUUACUGACGCUGAGGUGCGAAAGCGUGGGGAGCAAACAGG
This 404-nucleotide ribosomal RNA is filed under the name Actinomycetes bacterium. RNAcentral's name for it is "Actinobacteria bacterium partial 16S ribosomal RNA". It matches the Rfam family "Bacterial small subunit ribosomal RNA", at positions 355 to 776 of the family's 1533-position model. The record is from RNAcentral. Lineage: Bacteria; Bacillati; Actinomycetota; Actinomycetes.